CCUACGGGCGGCAGCAGUGGGGAAUAUUGGGCAAUGGGCGCAAGCCUGACCCAGCAACGCCGCGUGAAGGAAGAAGGCUUUCGGGUUGUAAACUUCUUUUCUCAGGGACGAAGCAAGUGACGGUACCCGAGGAAUAAGCCACGGCUAACUACGUGCCAGCAGCCGCGGUAAUACGUAGGUGGCAAGUGUUAUCCGGAUUUACUGGGUGUAAAGGGCGAGUAGGCGGGAAAGCAAGUCAGAUGUGAAAGCCAUGGGCUCAACCUGUGGCCUGCAUUUGAAACUGUUUUUCUUGAGUACUGGAGAGGCAGACGGAAUUCCUAGUGUAGCGGUGAAAUGCGUAGAUAUUAGGAGGAACACCAGUGGCGAAGGCGAUCUGCUGGACAGCAACUGACGCUGAGGCGCGAAAGCGUGGGGAGCAAACAGGAUUAGAUACCCGAGUAGUC
RNAcentral lists this ribosomal RNA (443 nucleotides) under uncultured bacterium. Its description in RNAcentral is "partial 16S ribosomal RNA". It matches the Rfam family "Bacterial small subunit ribosomal RNA", at positions 338 to 795 of the family's 1533-position model. The record is from RNAcentral.